GCUGACGCAAGGCACGGUGCAGGCUGAGUCAGUGAAGGUGAACCUGUCUUCGCGUGCGGAGCAGCGAGGCGUUCCUGCGGCCGCGGCAUAGACACCGAUCACAGGCGGACCCAGGUACCGAGACGGGUAGGGAGAGGAUUUCUACGAAACGGGCUGCAGUGUAACGUCCCAACCUUUUGGAGGACAGGGAAGGGAAAUGGCUGCUGUGGAGCCAGUGCAGGGGCUGAUGACCUUUGAGGAGGUGGCUGUGUAUUUCACGAAGGAAGAGUGGGCUCUACUGGACCCUGCUCAGAGAGCCCUCUACAGAGACAUCAUGCAGGAGAAUUAUGAGAAUGUGUCCUUGCUGGGUUUUCUAGUCUCCAAACCUGAUGUCAUUUCCCAGCUGGAACGAGGGGAAGAGCCGUGGGCUCCAGAUCUCCAGGGCUCAGAGGAAAGAGAGAUCCUGAGAGGCAGCUGCACAGCAGGUAAUGGGAUGGUGAGUGAGACCAUGGAGCAGACUCCUCAGCAGGAAGAUGAUGAGCACAUGGAAUCACAUGGGGUGUUAUUGCAAAGAUGCAAGGGGAGUGUGUCCAGGAGCUGUGAUCAGGGAAAAGCCUGUGAGAGUCAGUACAUGCCAGAGAAGUGGCAGGGAAACCAGCCAAGGCAGAAAGUUGGUAAAUCAGUUAAUUAUUGGGGAACUCACAAAGGCCUCAGGGAAACCAUGGCCCAGGAGAAAAUCCUGAUGAGAGAGAGAAAUAACACAUGCGUUGAGUGUGGGAAAAAGCUCAGUAGGCGCUCGAGCCUUAUUAGACAUCUGAGACUCCAUGCAGGAGAGAGCGCCUAUGAAUGCUGUGAGUGUGGGAAAACCUUCAGUCAAAGUUUAAACUUUAUUAAACAUCAGAGGAGCCACAGAGGGGAGAAACCCUACAAAUGCUGCGAGUGUGGGAAAACCUUCACUCGGAGCUCUGUCUUUAUUAAUCAUCAGAGAAUCCACACAGGGGAGAAACCUUAUAAAUGCUGUCAGUGUGGGAAAACCUUUGCUCAAAGCUCAAACCUUAUUACACAUCAGAGGUGCCACUCAGGGGAGAAACCCUAUAUAUGCUGUGAGUGCGGGAAAACCUUUGCUUGGAACUCAAACCUUACUAGACAUCAGAGGAUCCACACACAAGAGAAACCCUGCUGUGAAUGUGGGAAAAUCUUCACUAAUAGCUCAACCCUUAUUAAACAUCAGAGAAUCCACACAGGGGAGAAACCCUAUGAAUGCUGUGAGUGCCAGAAAACCUUCACUAAGCCCUCAACCCUUAUUGAACAUCAGAGGAUCCACACAGGGGAGAAACCCUAUGAAUGCUGUGAGUGUGGGAAAACCUUUGCUUGGCGCUCCACCCUUGUUACGCAUCAGAGGAUCCACAGAGGGGAGAAACCCUAUGAAUGCUGUGAAUGCGGGAAAACUUUCACUCUGUCCGCAGACCUUAUAAGACAUCAGAGAAUCCACACAGGGGAGAAACCCUAUGAAUGCUGUGAGUGUGGGAAAACCUUCCCUCAGUGUUCAACCCUUACUGAACAUCAGAGGAUCCACACAGGGGAGAAACCCUAUGAAUGUUGUGAGUGUGGGAAAACCUUUGCUUGGAGCUCAAACCUUAUUACACACAGGAGAAUCCACACAGGGGAGAAACCCUAUGAAUGCUGUGAGUGCGGGAAAACCUUCGCUCGGAACUCACACCUUAGUAGACAUCGGAGAAGCCACACUCAAGAGUGACCAUAUGGAUGCUCUCACCAUUUCUUGGAGUGAAUUUCAGGGCUGGAUUUACACCUUACAUACUCCUAGGCUCAGCAUCUUCAGUGCCCACCCUGCCUACAGCUGACCUUCAUGUUGCACACAGUUUUAGAGAGGGUCAACAGUGUAAUCAACAGUCGCUGCCUGUGCUGUAUUUGGAUAAUUCAAAGGUCAAAAGAACAUCCUAUCAUUUAAAUGAAUUGUAAACAUGGGAUAUCUCGGUAUUCAUCUGUCUUUGAAAUGUACUGUGAAUGGUGGAGGAACAAGCAAAUGGCCUUAUGUUAAUUUGUAUAGCUAAGUACCGGUGAUGGACCUCCUACAAAGUCAUCCUAAUUACAUUUUGUUCCUUGAGGAACUCCAACUUGUCAAAAGACAUGAAAUUGUAGAAAAGAUCCUUGGGUCCUGAUUCUGUCAUCUCAGAUCUGCUUAGGCUUCAUCAGGGGAAAUUUGAGUCUCAAGACUGAGGUCCCAGUUAUGCUGGUACGCCCUGUAUAUGAGGGUUGGACAUCAAACUAUAAUCUAUGAACUAUUUCUGAAAGAACUCUUUGCAGCUACAAAGCUCACCAUCUCUGCUAUGAAUCUGAACCUCAGUGAAUUGAACUCUCUGUAUAUUUAUUGAUCUUUUAACCAUAUUCUCUCUUUCAUUUUUUAAUAAAUUUUAGUUUAGUUAAUAAGAAUUGGCUGUAGCAUGUACUUGGGUAGGAUCUAAAACAUUCAUUAACCGGGGUGGUAAUGUGUCCAAUUCUUUGGGAUUGGUAGAACCUUUACUUUUAUAUGAUAUAAGAUUUACAGAAAUUGUCAUCAUAUUUAAUGUGGGUACCUGAAUGGAGGCCUAAGGCUGGAUCACUUUAAGGAAACUGUGUUGUUUGGACUUCUGAAUAAUGAGUAAGGUAAUAAAGAAGCUCUUUUAUGCUGGCUUGGUAAAUCUAAGUAUUGAAAUACCCACCAGCUUUAUGGUGAUUGCCCCAUUCUUUGCCGUUCACCCUAAUUCAGUGACAAUAGUUGGAGUAGUCAGUGUUUGUAAGUAUCUUGGUCAUAUGCUAAUAGCUAUGGACAGAUCUUCCCUCUCCCUUGUCAGCCAGGUAGUUUGUAUCAAUCCAGACAGUAGCUUUCAGAUUCCCAUCGUGCAUACCUCAAAAUUUUAUUUCCCUUUUAGAGUUAACUCAUUCCCAUCAGCAGGAUUGGGUCCUUCCCCCUCCCUCCCCAUCGUUCUCUUAUAGGGUUGAAAUCUGAACCUCCCUGCUUACAGGAAUGCCUUUGCUGGCUAGGUGUGUUCACAAAUUGCAGCCCCACUGCGCUAUGAACAUCUACACAGACACUUGCUUACAUGCCUACUUUUGGAUUGACCACCAACAGAAUCUUAGUGACUGGACUCUGUUUUAUUACAGGGACAUAAUCAAUUCCUACCAACCAGUCAGAAUCAGAAUUCUGCUUACUUUCCACUUUCAACUCUUGGUUCCAUGUAGGAACAUAAGAACGGCCAUACCGGGUCAGACCAAAGAUCCAUCUAGCCCAGUAUCCUGUCUACUGACAGUGGCCAAUGCCAGGUGCCCUAGAGGGAGUGAACCUAACAGGUAAUGAUCAAGUGAUGUCUCUCCUGCUGUCCAUCUCCAUCUUCUGACAAACAGGCUAGGGACACCAUUCCUUACCCAUCCUGGCUAAUAGCCAUUUAUGGACUUGACCACCAUGAAUUUAUUCAGUUCUCUUUUAAACGCUGUUAUAGUCCUAGCCUUCACAACCUCCUCAGGUAAGGAGUUCCACAAGUUGACUGUGUGCUGCAUGAAGAAGAACUUCCUUUUAUUCAUUUUAAACCUGCUACCUAUUAAUUUCAUUUGGUGACUCCUAGUUCUUGUAUUAUGGGAAUAAGUAAAUAACUUUGCCUUAUUCACUUUCUCCACACCACUCAUGUUUUUAUAUACCUCUAUCAUAUCCCCCCUUAAUCUCCUCUUUUCCAAGCUGAAGAGUCCUAGCCUCUUUAAUCUUUCCUCAUAUGGGACCCUCUCCAAACCCCUAAUCAUUUUAGUUGCCCUUUUCUGAACCUUUUCUAGUGCCAGUAUAUCUUCUUUGAGAUGAGGAUACCACAUCCGUAUGCAAUAUUUGAGAUGUGGAUGUACCGUGGAUUUAUAUAAGGGCAAUAAUAUAUUCUCAGUCUUAUUCUCUAUCCCCUUUUUAAUGAUUCUUAACAUCUUGUUUGCUUUUUUGACUGCCUCUGCACACUGCGUGGACAUCUUCAGAGAACUGUCCAUGAUGAUGCCAACAGAUGUGC
Gopherus flavomarginatus (Mexican gopher tortoise) is the source of this 4019-nucleotide RNA transcript. It is a transcript of the gene named zinc finger protein 501-like, with no coding region annotated. Lineage: Eukaryota; Metazoa; Chordata; Testudines; Testudinidae. The record is from RefSeq and is a predicted model, not a curated record. The transcript is spliced from 7 exons.